Molecule: signal recognition particle RNA, 96 nt
Filed under: Ahniella sp.
Lineage: Bacteria; Pseudomonadati; Pseudomonadota; Gammaproteobacteria; Lysobacterales; Rhodanobacteraceae
Description: signal recognition particle sRNA small type
Rfam family: Bacterial small signal recognition particle RNA
About the family: The signal recognition particle (SRP) is a universally conserved ribonucleoprotein involved in the co-translational targeting of proteins to membranes.
Source: RNAcentral
CGUUGGUUCCUCACGACGAUAGGUGGCAAAUCCCGCCAGGCCCGGAAGGGAGCAACGGUAGUCACUGAUGCGGGUGCUGAGGGUCGGCUGGCGGAG